CAGCAGCCACGGUAAUACGGAGGGAGCUAGCGUUGUUCGGAAUUACUGGGCGUAAAGCGCACGUAGGCGGCUUUGUAAGUUAGAGGUGAAAGCCCGGGGCUCAACUCCGGAACUGCCUUUAAGACCGCAUCGCUUGAAUCAUGGAGAGGCGGGUGGAAUUCCGAGUGUAGAGGUGAAAUUCGUAGAUAUUCGGAAGAACACCAGUGGCGAAGGCGGCCCGCUGGACAUGUAUUGACGCUGAGGUGCGAAAGCGUGGGGAGCAAACAGGAUUAGAUACCCCUGUAGUCCCUGUCUCUUAUAC
RNAcentral lists this ribosomal RNA (301 nucleotides) under uncultured bacterium. RNAcentral describes it as "partial 16S ribosomal RNA". It matches the Rfam family "Bacterial small subunit ribosomal RNA", at positions 509 to 807 of the family's 1533-position model. The record is from RNAcentral.